Molecule: non-coding RNA, 73 nt
Organism: Paramuricea clavata
Lineage: Eukaryota; Metazoa; Cnidaria; Anthozoa; Malacalcyonacea; Plexauridae
Source: the annotation of a GenBank genome assembly
GCCUCUGUAGCUCAGUUGGUUAGAGCGCUGCACUGGAAUAGUAGAGCCACAGGUUCGAUUCCUGUCAGAGGGC